This 521-nucleotide ribosomal RNA is filed under the name Bacillus licheniformis. RNAcentral's name for it is "bacterial SSU rRNA". It matches the Rfam family "Bacterial small subunit ribosomal RNA", at positions 385 to 897 of the family's 1533-position model. Lineage: Bacteria; Bacillati; Bacillota; Bacilli; Caryophanales; Bacillaceae. The record is from RNAcentral.
GACGGAGCACGCCGCGUGAGUGAUGAAGGUUUUCGGAUCGUAAAACUCUGUUGUUAGGGAAGAACAAGUACCGUUCGAAUAGGGCGGUACCUUGACGGUACCUAACCAGAAAGCCACGGCUAACUACGUGCCAGCAGCCGCGGUAAUACGUAGGUGGCAAGCGUUGUCCGGAAUUAUUGGGCGUAAAGCGCGCGCAGGCGGUUUCUUAAGUCUGAUGUGAAAGCCCCCGGCUCAACCGGGGAGGGUCAUUGGAAACUGGGGAACUUGAGUGCAGAAGAGGAGAGUGGAAUUCCACGUGUAGCGGUGAAAUGCGUAGAGAUGUGGAGGAACACCAGUGGCGAAGGCGACUCUCUGGUCUGUAACUGACGCUGAGGCGCGAAAGCGUGGGGAGCGAACAGGAUUAGAUACCCUGGUAGUCCACGCCGUAAACGAUGAGUGCUAAGUGUUAGAGGGUUUCCGCCCUUUAGUGCUGCAGCAAACGCAUUAAGCACUCCGCCUGGGGAGUACGGUCGCAAGACUGA